CCCCGGCUCAACCGGGGAGGGUCAUUGGAAACUGGGGAACUUGAGUGCAGAAGAGGAGAGUGGAAUUCCACGUGUAGCGGUGAAAUGCGUAGAGAUGUGGAGGAACACCAGUGGCGAAGGCGACUCUCUGGUCUGUAACUGACGCUGAGGAGCGAAAGCGUGGGGAGCGAACAGGAUUAGAUACCCUGGUAGUCCACGCCGUAAACGAUGAGUGCUAAGUGUUAGGGGGUUUCCGCCCUUUAGUGCUGCAGCUAACGCAUUAAGCACUCCGCCUGGGGAGUACGGUCGCAAGACUGAAACUCAAAGGAAUUGACGGGGGCCCGCACAAGCGGUGGAGCAUGUGGUUUAAUUCGAAGCAACGCGAAGAACCUUACCAGGUCUUGACAUCCUCUGACAAUCCUAGAGAUAGGACUUCCCCUUCGGGGGCAGAGUGACAGGUGGUGCAUGGUUGUCGUCAGCUCGUGUCGUGAGAUGUUGGGUUAAGUCCCGCAACGAGCGCAACCCUUGAUCUUAGUUGCCAGCAUUCAGUUGGG
This 533-nucleotide ribosomal RNA is filed under the name Bacillus paralicheniformis. Its description in RNAcentral is "bacterial SSU rRNA". It matches the Rfam family "Bacterial small subunit ribosomal RNA", at positions 602 to 1135 of the family's 1533-position model. Lineage: Bacteria; Bacillati; Bacillota; Bacilli; Caryophanales; Bacillaceae. The record is from RNAcentral.